This 2315-nucleotide ribosomal RNA is filed under the name mouse gut metagenome. RNAcentral describes it as "bacterial LSU rRNA". It matches the Rfam family "Bacterial large subunit ribosomal RNA", at positions 3 to 2400 of the family's 2925-position model. The record is from RNAcentral.
UCAAGCUACAAAGAGCGCAGGGCGAAUGCCUUGGCACUGGGAGCCGAAGAAAGACGCGAUAAGCUGCGAUAAGCCACGGGGAGCCGCAAAUAGGCGUUGAGCCGUGGAUUUCUGAAUGGAGAAAUCCGGCCGGAGUAAAGUCCGGUCAUCAUACGCUGAAUCCAUAGGCGUAUGAGGGGAACCGCCUGAACUGAAACAUCUAAGUAGGGCGAGGAAAAGAAAUCAACCGAGAUUCCGUAAGUAGUGGCGAGCGAACGCGGAAGAGGCCAAACCGAGGAUAGCAAUAUCUUCGGGGUUGCGGACUGCAUUUAGUAUUGCCGAAGUCUAGGAGAACCCCAUGGGAAGGGGGACCGAAGAGGGUGAGAGUCCCGUAUCCGAAAGGCGGAAGCAGCGAGCAGUAUCCAGAGUACCGCGGGACACGAGGAAUCCCGUGGGAAGCCGGGGGGACCACCCUCCAAGCCUAAACACUACCCAGUGACCGAUAGCGCAUAGUACUGUGAAGGAAAGGUGAAAAGGACCCCGGAAGGGGAGUGAAAUAGAACCUGAAACCCUGUGCUUACAAGCACCGAGAGCCCGUCAACGGGUAAUCGGGUACUUUUUGUAGAACGGUCCGGCGAGUAUAUUUAACUGGCAAGGUUAAGGGCCUCAGGUCUGAAGCCGAAGCGAGAGCGAGUCUGAAUAGGGCGUAUAGUCAGUUGGAUAUGACCCGAAACCGGGUGACCUAUCCAUGAUCAGGUUGAAGUGGGCGUAAAAGCCCAUGGAGGACCGAACCGACCUCCGUUGAAAUGGCGGCGGAUGAAUUGUGGAUAGCGGAGAAAUUCCAAUCGAACCCGGAUAUAGCUGGUUCUCCCCGAAAUAGCUUUAGGGCUAGCGUUGUAUUAGAUUACCGGAGGUAAAGCACUGAAUAGGCUAGGGGCCGAGAGGCUACCGACCCUUAUCAAACUCUGAAUGCCGGAUAAUUGAUGUACAGCAGUCAGACAGUGUGAGAUAAGUUUCAUUGUCAAAAGGGAAACAGCCCAGACCCACAGCUAAGGUCCCAAAUGUACGUUAAGUGGAGAAGGAUGUGGAAUUGCACAGACAACCAGGAUGUUGGCUUAGAAGCAGCCACACAUUCAAAGAGUGCGUAACAGCUCACUGGUCGAGUGAUUCCGCGCCGAAAAUUUAACGGGGCUAAACGUACAACCGAAGCUUGGGCUGCAUCGAAAGAUGCGGGGUAGGGGAGCGUCGUGUAACGGGGUGAAGCAUGAGCGUAAGCGCGUGUGGACUUUACACGAGUGAGAAUGCCGGAAUGAGUAGCGCGAUUUAUGUGAGAAUCAUAAAGGCCGAAAGCCUAAGGUUUCUGGAGGAAGGUUCGUCCGCUCCAGGUUAGCCGGGAGCUAAGGUGAGGCGGAAACGCGUAGCCGAUGCACAUACGGUGGAGAUUCCGUAGCUGUCGAAGGAUUUAAGCAGGGGGACACUGAAGAAGGCUUCAACCCAGGCGUUGGUAGACCUGGGCGAAAGGGACCGAAAAUAGAGUAGGGAAGUGAAGUUGGAAUCAGGCGAGAAAAGCCCUGUGUAUAUCUGAGACACCCGUACCGCAAACCGACACAGGUAGGUAGGAAGAGGAUUCUAAGGCCAACGGGAGAAGGGUUGUUAAGGAACUCGGCAAGUUGACCCCGUAACUUCGGAAAAAGGGGAGCCUCGAAAGAGGCCGCAGAGAAUAGGCCCAAGCAACUGUUUACCAAAAACACAGGUCUAUGCUAAAUCGAAAGAUGACGUAUAUGGGCUGACGCCUGCCCGGUGCUGGAAGGUUAAGAGGAGGGCUUAGCGCAAGCGAAGGUCUGAAUUGAAGCCCCAGUAAACGGCGGCCGUAACUAUAACGGUCCUAAGGUAGCGAAAUUCCUUGUCAGGUAAGUUCUGACCCGCACGAAUGGCGUAACGAUUUGGGCGCUGUCUCAACAGCCCACCCGGCGAAAUUGUUGUACUGGUGAAGAUGCCAGUUACCCGCAACUAGACGGAAAGACCCCAUGGAGCUUUACUGUAGCUUAAUACUGAAGAUCGGUAAUGCAUGUACAGGAUAGGUGGGAGACUUGGAAGCCAGGCCGUCAGCUUUGGUGGAGUCAACCUUGGGAUACCACUCUUGUAUUGCUGGUUUUCUAACCUGCGGCCCUGAAUCGGGUCGGGGGACACUGUUAGGUGGGCAGUUUGACUGGGGCGGUCGCCUCCAAAAGAGUAACGGAGGCGCUCAAAGGUUCGUUCAGCACGGACGGAAAUCGUGCAUUGAGUGUAAACGCAUAAACGAGCCUAACUGCGAGACCGACGGGUCGAGCAGUAAC